ACGAUUUUUACCUAAUUAUUUGAUCAGGUGAAAGAUGAACUUUGCAAGGAGAAUCUGCAGCUUGUCAAUGAAAAUCUACUAAAGGAACCUCGUAUUGUGGAACUCAGGAACCAGUAUAGAAUAAUUUGUACAACUCAAUUAGCUGUUGCUCAAGAGAAACUAAAUGAGCUUGACAAGCAGAAAGAGGAAGUGUUGAAGUUGAAUUCCCCACCAUACCUUCUCCAAAGGAUUCAAGGUAUGCCUUGACAUGAUGACUUAUU
Molecule: non-coding RNA, 260 nt
Organism: Cajanus cajan (pigeon pea)
Lineage: Eukaryota; Viridiplantae; Streptophyta; Magnoliopsida; Fabales; Fabaceae
Source: RefSeq, a predicted model, not a curated record